GACGAACGCUGGCGGCGUGCCUAAUACAUGCAAGUCGAACGCAGUGGGGACGGGUGAGUAACACGUGGGUAACCUCCCAUCAGAGGGGAUAACACUUGGAAACAGGUGCUCAACCGAUACUGCUGGAUGUACCCGCGGUGCAUUAGCUAGUUGGUGAGGUAACGGCUCACCAAGGCCACGAUGAAUAGACGACCGGAGAGGGUGAUCGGCAACACUGGGACUGAGAAACGGCCCAGACUCCUACGGGAGGCAGCAGUAGGGAAUCUUCGGCAAUGGACGAAAGGCUGACCGAGCAAAGCAGCGUGAGUGAAGAAGGUUUUCGGAUCGUAAAACUCUGUUGUUAGAGAAGCGGUAUCUAACCAGAAAGCCACGGCUAACUACGUGCCAGCAGCCGCGGUAAUAC
RNAcentral lists this ribosomal RNA (403 nucleotides) under uncultured bacterium. RNAcentral's name for it is "partial 16S ribosomal RNA". It matches the Rfam family "Bacterial small subunit ribosomal RNA", at positions 28 to 526 of the family's 1533-position model. The record is from RNAcentral.